This is an RNA transcript of Drosophila teissieri, 3065 nucleotides long. It is a transcript of the gene named semaphorin-2A, with no coding region annotated. The transcript is spliced from 16 exons. Lineage: Eukaryota; Metazoa; Arthropoda; Insecta; Diptera; Drosophilidae. The record is from RefSeq and is a predicted model, not a curated record.
UCGUGUGCGGAUGUUGAGCGGGAAAGUGGAAAAGCGGAAAAGCGCAUUCAAAAACCCAGCCGAAAACUCGUGCAAACUGCAAGCAGUGCCAAGAAACGUACAAGAAGAAUAAAAGCGAAUUAGAUUAAAAAACAGAGGUUUCAGUGACAAGUGUGCAACGAAAACUCGACAGCAGUGAGGUUUUUCCCGAACUCAGAGCCGAACCAUCGCUGCCCAGACGAGCGAAGCCAAAAGCGAGUGUGUUUAUUUAACACACUUCCUCGUUGCGAAAGCCUUCAGUUCGUGUCUGCUGCUCGCGAAGUGCGCGCCACAGUGAGGAGGGAAAGCGGAAACGGAAACGAAAACGGGAACGAGUGCGUCGCAAGCGAUAACGGAAACGGAAGCGAAAGCGUAGGAACAUGUGUGUGUGACGGGACGAUCUCAGCUAAAGCCGAAUUUAGAAUAGAUCGCAGCCAAUGCCGUUCAAUGCCCAGCUAAAGAUUGCUCAAUCAGUGAACAAAGUGACAUACGCGAGAGUCAGUGACUCAAACUGCAGCGCUAAGAUACAAAACUACUCUAUUGCCGAUUUAAGCCAGGCCAAAAGGCAGGCAGGCAGCAUGUGUGCCACGGGGAAAGGUAACCACAGGCUCUGUAGCCUCAGUGCCCUGCUCCUCGUCCUGGUCGCCCAAACUCUGCACGUGGAAUACGCCCGGGCGGAUUAUGAGAACACCUGGAAUCUAUACUACGAGCCGCCCUGCUGCACGGGCUCAUCUGCCGCCCAUCAUCUGCGCCACCACAAAGAACAUGUGCAGGACUUCAGCUGCGGCCCGCUGCACUACAAGACUUUCUACAUGGAUGAGCGCAACAAUGCGCUAUAUGUGGGCGCCAUGGAUCGCAUAUUUCGGCUCAAUCUGCGCAACAUCAGCCAAUCGAUUUGUGAGCGCGAUGUCCUCAUCCUGGAGCCCACCGGAUCGGAUAUCCUGAAUUGUGUGUCCAAGGGAAAACGGGAGAAGGUGGAAUGCCGCAAUCACAUAAGGGUUAUCCAGCCGAUGAACUUCAAUGGCCAGAAGCUAUAUGUUUGCGGGACCAACGCCCACAAUCCCAAGGAUUACGUAAUAAACGCAAACUUAACACAUUUACCCAGAUCCCAGUACGUGCCCGGCAUUGGCCUGGGCAUUGGCAAGUGUCCCUACGAUCCUGCUGACAACUCAACCGCCGUCUAUGUGGAGAACGGAAAUCCCUUCGGCCUGCCCGCCCUGUACGCGGGCACGAAUGCAGAGUUCACCAAAGCGGAUUCCGUCAUAUUCCGAUCGGACCUGUACAACCUGACGAACGGACGCAAGGAGGCCAACUUCAAGAGAACCGUGAAGUACGACUCCAAGCUGCUGGACAAACCCAACUUCGUGGGCUCCUUCGAGAUUGGCGAAUUUGUGUACUUCUUCUUCCGCGAACACGCCGUGGAGUACAUAAAUUGCGGAAAGGCUGUCUACUCCCGCGUGGCUCGGGUGUGCAAGAACGACCGCGGUGGCAAGUACAUGAUCAGCCAGAACUGGGCCACGUAUCUGAAGGCGCGGAUGAACUGCAGCAUCUCCAGCGAGUUUCCCUUCUACUUCAAUGAGAUACAAUCGGUGUACAAGAUGCCAACGGACGAUACCAAGUUCUAUGCCACGUUCACAACGAAUACGAAUGGUCUGAUUGGAUCGGCUGUGUGCAGCUACGACAUCCGGGACAUCAAUGCGGCCUUCGACGGCAAAUUCAAGGAGCAGGCCACCUCGAACAGCGCCUGGCUGCCCGUGCUGAACUCCAAAGUGCCGGAGCCACGUCCUGGCACUUGCCACAACGACACCGCCACGCUGCCGGACUCCGUGCUGAAUUUCAUUCGCAAACAUCCGCUAAUGGACAAGGCGGUCGAUCAUGAAUUUGGCAAUCCGGUCUUCUUCAAGCGGGACGUCAUACUCACCAAGCUGGUGGUGGACAAGAUACGGAUCGACAAGCUGAACCAGGAGUUCCUCGUGUACUUUGUGGCCACGACGUCUGGCCACAUCUACAAGAUAGUGCAGUUCAUGCACUACGGCCAGCGCCACUCGAACCUGGUGGACAUCUUCGAGGCCUCGCCGCACAACGAGCCCAUCCGCGAGAUGACCCUCAGCCAGAAGACGGGAUCGCUGUACGUGGCCACCGAUCACCAGGUGAAGCAGAUCGACAUUGCCAUGUGUGCCCGCCGCUACGACAGCUGCUUCCGCUGCGUCUCGGAUCCGUACUGCGGCUGGGACAAGGACGUCAAUGCCUGCCGACCCUACCAGCUGGGUCUGCUGCAGGACGUGGCCAACGAGACGUCCGGCAUCUGCGACACCAGUGUGCUGCGCAAGAAGGUCACCUCCUCCUACGGCCAAACCCUGCACCUCUCCUGCUUUGUCAAGAUGCCGGAAGUGCUGCGCAAGAAGCAGACGCGCUGGUACCACCACUCCACCGAAAAAGGACGCUACGAGGUACGCUACACACCCACCAAAUACAUCGACACCAACGAGGGCGGCCUGGUGCUCCUGGCGGUGAACGAGGGCGACGGCGGGCGGUACGACAGCUACUUGGACGGCACCCUGCUCUGCAGCUACGGCGUCACCGUGGACGCCCACAGAUGCUCGCCGCCGUCGCAGAAGCAGGACUACCAGAAAAUCUACUCGCACUGGUGCAACGAGUUCGAGAAAUACAAAUCGGCCAUGAAGCAGUGGCAGGCCAAGCAGGAGCAAUGCGGCCUCAAGGACAAAACAGGACCAAUCAGCAGCAAUGGCAAGCAUGUGAAUGAUGUGUUCAGCAACGAUGCUUUGGUCUGACCCAGAAAGUACUUGUACAGCUUUGAGUUCUUGUCGUCGGCGACGGAGGGCGUGGCCAGCGCCCACCGCAAAUUGUACAUUUUCGUGUUCGUGCUUACCAUAUUUGCUCGCUUCUAAAGUUUCUAGUUAAAAUGUAAAUGCGCAGAAAAGCAGUAAGCACCCGAGAAAAACAAGUGAAGAACAAGCAUGAAAAUGGGACAAGAGUCGAGCUGAGGAAAAACUAUGAGUAAAGAAAAUGAUUAUAGAAAGGAAAAA